RNAcentral lists this small RNA (170 nucleotides) under Streptomyces sp. RNAcentral's name for it is "c-di-AMP sequence". It matches the Rfam family "c-di-AMP riboswitch aptamer (ydaO/yuaA leader)". From Rfam's summary of the family: This family represents a conserved RNA structure found upstream of the ydaO and yuaA genes in Bacillus subtilis and related genes in other bacteria. The ydaO/yuaA element is thought to act as a genetic "off" switch for the ydaO and yuaA genes in its native state. The record is from RNAcentral. Lineage: Bacteria; Bacillati; Actinomycetota; Actinomycetes; Kitasatosporales; Streptomycetaceae. RNAcentral also lists the same sequence under 1 other name.
GGACAGCCAUCGCCGAGUCCCCGUACGGCGCGAGCCAGGGGAGCCGGGGACCCACAUAUAUGUAGUCCCUGGGGUGAAUCGGACGCCCGCGCGUGCAGCGAGGGGGUCCGUAGGAGACCUUCCUGCUCCGAACCCGUCAGCUAACCCGGUAGGCGAGAGGGAAGGAAAGG